This 253-nucleotide ribosomal RNA is filed under the name uncultured bacterium. RNAcentral's name for it is "partial 16S ribosomal RNA". It matches the Rfam family "Bacterial small subunit ribosomal RNA", at positions 524 to 776 of the family's 1533-position model. The record is from RNAcentral.
UACGUAGGGUGCAAGCGUUAAUCGGAAUUACUGGGCGUAAAGCGUGCGCAGGCGGUUUGGUAAGACAGAUGUGAAAUCCCCGGGCUUAACCUGGGAACUGCAUUUGUGACUGCCCGGCUAGAGUGUGUCAGAGGGGGGUAGAAUUCCACGUGUAGCAGUGAAAUGCGUAGAUAUGUGGAGGAAUACCGAUGGCGAAGGCAGCCCCCUGGGAUAACACUGACGCUCAUGCACGAAAGCGUGGGGAGCAAACAGG